Molecule: ribosomal RNA, 1158 nt
Filed under: Escherichia coli
Lineage: Bacteria; Pseudomonadati; Pseudomonadota; Gammaproteobacteria; Enterobacterales; Enterobacteriaceae
Description: partial 23S ribosomal RNA
Rfam family: Bacterial large subunit ribosomal RNA
Source: RNAcentral
GGGUUGUGAGGUUAAGCGACUAAGCGUACACGGUGGAUGCCCUGGCAGUCAGAGGCGAUGAAGGACGUGCUAAUCUGCGAUAAGCGUCGGUAAGGUGAUAUGAACCGUUAUAACCGGCGAUUUCCGAAUGGGGAAACCCAGUGUGUUUCGACACACUAUCAUUAACUGAAUCCAUAGGUUAAUGAGGCGAACCGGGGGAACUGAAACAUCUAAGUACCCCGAGGAAAAGAAAUCAACCGAGAUUCCCCCAGUAGCGGCGAGCGAACGGGGAGCAGCCCAGAGCCUGAAUCAGUGUGUGUGUUAGUGGAAGCGUCUGGAAAGGCGCGCGAUACAGGGUGACAGCCCCGUACACAAAAAUGCACAUGCUGUGAGCUCGAUGAGUAGGGCGGGACACGUGGUAUCCUGUCUGAAUAUGGGGGGACCAUCCUCCAAGGCUAAAUACUCCUGACUGACCGAUAGUGAACCAGUACCGUGAGGGAAAGGCGAAAAGAACCCCGGCGAGGGGAGUGAAAAAGAACCUGAAACCGUGUACGUACAAGCAGUGGGAGCACGCUUCGGCGUGUGACUGCGUACCUUUUGUAUAAUGGGUCAGCGACUUAUAUUCUGUAGCAAGGUUAACCGAAUAGGGGAGCCGAAGGGAAACCGAGUCUUAACUGGGCGUUAAGUUGCAGGGUAUAGACCCGAAACCCGGUGAUCUAGCCAUGGGCAGGUUGAAGGUUGGGUAACACUAACUGGAGGACCGAACCGACUAAUGUUGAAAAAUUAGCGGAUGACUUGUGGCUGGGGGUGAAAGGCCAAUCAAACCGGGAGAUAGCUGGUUCUCCCCGAAAGCUAUUUAGGUAGCGCCUCGUGAAUUCAUCUCCGGGGGUAGAGCACUGUUUCGGCAAGGGGGUCAUCCCGACUUACCAACCCGAUGCAAACUGCGAAUACCGGAGAAUGUUAUCACGGGAGACACACGGCGGGUGCUAACGUCCGUCGUGAAGAGGGAAACAACCCAGACCGCCAGCUAAGGUCCCAAAGUCAUGGUUAAGUGGGAAACGAUGUGGGAAGGCCCAGACAGCCAGGAUGUUGGCUUAGAAGCAGCCAUCAUUUAAAGAAAGCGUAAUAGCUCACUGGUCGAGUCGGCCUGCGCGGAAGAUGUAACGGGGCUAAACCAUG